AAUAAGUGCAGUUUUGCACUAUUCACGUUCAACGUUUGACCGUCCGUCUUAUUUAAAAAUUUUUUAUGAUUANAAAUUUUUCAAAUAAGACGGACGGUCAAACGUUGAACGUGAAUAGUGCAAAACUGCACUUAUU
RNAcentral lists this microRNA precursor (136 nucleotides) under Oryza rufipogon (brownbeard rice). Its description in RNAcentral is "MIR812 microRNA precursor family". It matches the Rfam family "MIR812 microRNA precursor family". Lineage: Eukaryota; Viridiplantae; Streptophyta; Magnoliopsida; Poales; Poaceae. The record is from Rfam by way of RNAcentral.